UACAGAGGUGGCAAGCGUUGUUCGGAAUUACUGGGCGUAAAGCGCGCGUAGGCGGCUAUCUAAGUCGGAUGUGAAAGCCCCUGGCUUAACUGGGGAAGUGCACCCGAAACUGAGUAGCUAGAGUGCGAAAGAGGGUCGCGGAAUUCCCGGUGUAGAGGUGAAAUUCGUAGAUAUCGGGAGGAACACCGGUGGCGAAGGCGGCGACCUGGGUCGACACUGACGCUGAGGCGCGAAAGCGUGGGGAGCAAACAGG
This 253-nucleotide ribosomal RNA is filed under the name uncultured bacterium. RNAcentral describes it as "partial 16S ribosomal RNA". It matches the Rfam family "Bacterial small subunit ribosomal RNA", at positions 524 to 776 of the family's 1533-position model. The record is from RNAcentral.